RNAcentral lists this ribosomal RNA (253 nucleotides) under uncultured bacterium. Its description in RNAcentral is "partial 16S ribosomal RNA". It matches the Rfam family "Bacterial small subunit ribosomal RNA", at positions 524 to 776 of the family's 1533-position model. The record is from RNAcentral.
UACAGAGGUCUCAAGCGUUGUUCGGAUUCAUUGGGCGUAAAGGCUGCGUAGGCGGCGCGGUAAGUCGGGUGUGAAAUCUCGGAGCUUAACUCCGAAACUGCAUUCGAUACUGCCGUGCUUGAGGACUGGAGAGGAGACUGGAAUUUACGGUGUAGCGGUGAAAUGCGUAGAUAUCGUAAGGAAGACCAGUGGCGAAGGCGGGUCUCUGGACAGUUCCUGACGCUGAGGCACGAAGGUCAGGGGAGCAAACGGG